CUUCGUGAAGGUAAACUCAUCACUUCCCUCUUGUUUUCACUCUUCAUUGAGCUUCAAUUUCCAUAUUAGAGCCCUAAUCCUAUUUCUCUAUUUUGCUACAUAUUUAUGGGUUCCCGUCGAAGUUUUCCGGCGACAGUGUUCUUGAGCUUUCAACGACCUCGUCAAGUUCAGGUGGAGUCCAAAAGCGUUUCAGUCCCUUGUUCUUGGUAACUGGAUUCUAUUUCUUAAAUCAAGUGCUCUUUAAUUUGUUGCUUUCUGCAAUUUCCAUUUCCAAUCUUCACUAUACUCACUUUGAUUUAAUUAGGAUAGUUUCACUACUCUUUUAAAUGAAAUAGAGAAUUUAUAACCUGCUGGAAAUCAAAUGGUUUGUUCGAAAAGAAUCAUAUGAUAUUUACAUUAUAGUUUUUCUUUACUAAUAUACAUACAUACUCGAUCUAUCAUACUCAUUGAUCGGUAUUUUCACUUUUUAGAGGAUAUUGAGAAUUUAUAACCUGUUUGAAAUCAAUGAUAUAGGUAUUAUAUUUUCCCUUUAUCUAGCUUAAUCAGUUUUUCUAGCUUAAUCAGUUUUUAAUUACCUGGGAUAUAUAUAUAUAUAUAUAUAUAUAUAUGAUCGAGUAUCAGUUUCUUCUUUAGAUCGAUCCCAGAAAAUAGAAAAAACGAAGAGUGCAUGAAAUUAUAUAAAAUACUUAGAAUUAAGGAUGAUCUGGAUCUCCUCAGUUAAAUUGAUUUCAUCUACUAAAAGAGGUUUUUUUGUUAGUUUUCGUUAUGUUAGCUAGCUCCUUGGUCUUCUUAAAAUACUUUUGUGCUUCACAGAGAUAAGAGAACACUGGAUCUUAGGUUGUUAUCAUAGUCCAGCUUGUCACUCCAGGUUGAUCAAUGUGUACGGAUCGCUCAAUUGGUUGUCAAGAUUAAAUAAGAACGCAAGAAGAUAAUUAGUCCUAUUGAUUUCUAUCAUAAACAGCUUUUACCUGGAAGAUAAUAUAGUCAAUUGGGUGCAAUGAUAAAAGUAACUCACUCAAUCUAUCGUACUAAGAAGAGUAAUAAUAUACAGAAAAUCUUCAUCAUCCUCAUCAUAUUAUAGUCAGUUGGGUUAGAUUUUAUAAUUCGGAUUGCAACAAGGAACAAUCCAGUGGGGCAUGAGCGUGAAAAAGUUUCCUUACCAAGAUAACCUGAUGGUGAAUAUAUCAAGGUUACAAGCGCAAAGGCUUUGUGAAUUCGUUUUAGUGAUCGAAAUACGAUAUAUACAUGGCUGAAUACACCAAAGUAAUUACAAGGGUUAUAUCUGUAUGUAUAAUGGUGAAAUUUGAGUGCUGCUAUAUGUAAUUAUAAAAUCCUUACCCCUUGAAAUUUGGCUUUAUGGAAUCUAAUCUGGAUUUUCUGAAGUAUAUUUCCAAUGGGUCCUAUAUUUCCAAGUUCAUGAAAUUCUAUUGUAGCUCAUUCUGUUUCUUUGUGUUUUGAUUCGGUUGCUUGUGCUUUCUGAUUGUGUAUUACCAAUUUGUGUUCCCAAGUUCAAGUUGGUGCCUUAUUGAGCAAUUAGUAUUCGUGCUUCCUGUAAUUGUUUGUGUUCAUUUUAGUUUGAUAUUUGCUUUGCUGAAUGAUCUGAAUUUUGCUAGUUUGGGUGUUGUAGGUGAUUCAUGUCCAUCUCGUGGUUGAUGACUAUGUACUUGAAGGUCUUAUGAUUACCGCAAAGCAGGUAUUACUUUUUCCAUAAACAUAAAAAUGAGUUUUGAUUCUAGGGUGAUAGAAAAAAUUUGAUCUUUCAUCCGUGGCAAGCUGUUCAAUGAUAUUUGGUUUCUUUCAGCUUGUUAUGCCUUCCAAUCAGAUGAUAAGUCAUAAUUGUUAACCAUGUCAAUAUGGCCAAAGGGUAAGUAGAAGUUCAUAGAUGCACAAUUACAACUUUGUUUAGCUGAAUUUGAUGCAGUUGUUUAGCUGAAUUUGAUAAUAUCGUCGUUUUAGGUUGCGGCUACAAAAAACAAGUGGGAGCAAUGAUAUCGAUCGACCACAGGCUCUUCAAGGGAGACCUCUUUGGAGAAGCAUAUUGAAAGGAACCUAAAUUCAGUGUCUGUUGUAGCAUAUAUAUAGGUAAUUAACUUUAAUGUACUUUAAGUCAUGUUUGGUCAUUUGCUUACUAGCUUGAUGUAAUGAGUUAUAUUAAUACAUUCUAAAUUGUUACUUUGUAAAUGACAUUAGUUAUAUUGAUGGUAAUUUGAGUAUGACAUUUGAGUAAGAAGAUUUUUUUUUUUAUUUGAACAUACCUUAUUUACGGCA
Molecule: long non-coding RNA, 2268 nt
Filed under: Fragaria vesca (wild strawberry)
Lineage: Eukaryota; Viridiplantae; Streptophyta; Magnoliopsida; Rosales; Rosaceae
Description: long non-coding RNA (FVES_LNC001538)
Source: RNAcentral